Cyanistes caeruleus (blue tit) is the source of this 1685-nucleotide long non-coding RNA. NCBI's taxonomy places the organism in Eukaryota, Metazoa, Chordata, Aves, Passeriformes, Paridae. The record is from Ensembl.
CAGGUAUUGCCUUCUGCCCCAUGUGGCCCCUUCCCUUCGAGACUACAAAGGUGUGUGUCAAAGAAGAGGGAGCAGGUAAUGACUGCUGCUCUGUCGUGGAGAAGCAAAGAAGGCCACUGUUCUGGCAUGUCUUGUACACGUUUUCUUUGAUAAGUCAUCAGAUUUUCUUGAUGUCAUUACUUGUUCCUACCAAUGGAUAUGUCUACUGACCGCUUAAUGAGGUUUUGAAUGACAGUCUCUGCAUCCUGAACAAAGGGUUUCAAGGGGAAAAAGAACCCAACCACGAGUGUCAAAUCAAGACAGACAUAAGCUUCUGACCUCUCCCAGCAGCAACAACAAAUGGCAGCAAAAUAGAAACUUCAGAGUGCUUUUUCACCCACUGAUUCCCAUUUCCAGGUAGUCAGGAAAUGGGGGCAAAUGUGGAAAAGAAGGAAAUGAACCCAUUAUGUCUGUGAUAGCUUCCCAGGAUCAAAUGUCCUCCUGCAUGAACUUUUGCAGAACAAGCCCAAAAGGAAGGAGUGGAAGGGAAAGAAGAGUAACAAAUGUGAGAGGAAAAGAAACAGCAGGAAAGCUACAGAGGACACAAGUUGAAAUAGUGUUGCACAGAAAAAAAAAUAUGGUUCUCUGCAACAAAUACAGCAGGAAGCCUAACAAAAAAAACCCAAAAACAAAUACAAUAGCUUAAAUGAGCAUGGCUGCAGUACAGGGACUGUCCAUGACAAAGUGUGGUGGGACAAGUAGAGAAGAUACAAAGACUCAAAAGAAUACUUAAUAUCCUUAAACUUUCUAGUAUUUUUCUUGUUGAUAUGGUAUUGUCAGAAUUUUGAUCUGAAAAGGCUUAUUUUUUCCAUUAUUUAUCUGUUUCAGCUUGAGAGAAUUUUGUUUCACCAGUUGUAAGAGGUGUUUGUAGUGAUAAUCUUUCUGUACCAGCCCAAUAUUGUUACAGUGAUAAUGCCAUUAGGAGCAUCCCCAGUUUUUGGGGGCAUCAUGUGACUCUUUCCAAGGAACAGAGCAGUGGAGGCUGAAGGAGGUUACAUACUGAAUCAUGCACUAUGGGUGUGGAGGAAAUAGUCCCAUGUGUCUUAUUCCCUUUCUGCAGAUCUACCAGAGCCAGGCAGGCCAGCUGGAGGGAUUUUUUCACCUUUUGUAUGCCUUAUUUUAUCCUCCAGCUAAAUACUUCCCUUAAAGCUAAAAUUAUUUUAAAAUCCUCAGGUAGUAAAUGUAACAUAUUCACAUGCUAAACGUAAUUGAAGGCCAUAGUCAGCACCAUUGUAAAAGCCACAGCACUUGAUGACCCUUUUUUAACAAAUGCAUAGCCAUUCCUACUGGAUUCACCCCAGCAAGGCGCUCUCAGAGUGGUGUUUUCCAGAAAUCCGUCCAAUUGGUUGGUAACUGCCUGGGAUGCUGAGUGCUCCCUGCAACCACUUAAUACUGAUGUUAGGAGCAAGAUGCUUAAAAAUGCAUGGCAGAUGGCUCACAGCAAUGAUGUGAGAGGAUUUAUCCUCCAGGAGACAACAGUUUAUUCCUGUUCUUUUGCUGGUGACUUCUGUCAUAUUGAGCAAGACAGCAAAAGCUAGGGCAGAAUGAAAUAUGAUAUCUUUCCCAUGAACAUUUCAAAGCGUGCUUGAAAAGGUUUUUGUUUUGAAAAUGAAUUAUUCAGUUUUGCAAUGUAAGAUGGAGGUAUU